Betta splendens (Siamese fighting fish) is the source of this 5609-nucleotide RNA transcript. It is a transcript of the gene named mitogen-activated protein kinase kinase kinase 15, with no coding region annotated. The transcript is spliced from 29 exons. NCBI's taxonomy places the organism in Eukaryota, Metazoa, Chordata, Actinopteri, Anabantiformes, Osphronemidae. The record is from RefSeq and is a predicted model, not a curated record.
AGGGACACGCAGUUUUAUAUUUAGACAACCGGAGACGCGGCGAUAACGUUUCAAACUGUGUCCGGGACGGAGGAGACGGAAGCGCUGAUGGCUCUGCCCCGAUGUAUAAACACUCUCCCCGUGGGAAACUUUAAACCAGGUUAAAGGCGAAAGUCAAUAAUUCAACUUAUGGAUGCCUCUUGCUCUCCCACCCACUCUCCUCCUCUCUCUUUGGGAUCUAGUCAGAUCCAGUUUGGGCAAAACGGGCUUUUUGGUGCGAGAUAAUGGGCAGAUGUUGAGUUAAUGAGACGGAGAUGCGUGGACGCGAACUCAGACGCGCUCCACUCCGGCGACGGCAGGUGCGCAACGAGUGAGCGAGGGGCGCACGAGGCGAGACGGGGAGAAGACACAGUAAGGGGAGUACUGGGAGGGAGAGGAGAGAGGUAACUGGGAAGGAAGGGGAUCCAGCACACACUCACUCCGGGUCGGCGCUAUGGAAUCGGGGCAGAGCGCGCAGGUCGCCGACAUGGCCGGGGAGCACUCCGCCGGCGUGUGCGCCGCGGACCGGGACCGGGACCGGGACCGGGAGCGGGGCGAGGUGUCCAGCCCCAGCCCCCCGUUCAAACAGCGCUCCUUGCGGGUCGUGUACGUCCUGAACGACGGGCUGAAGUCGGUGAUGGCCAGCAGCCCGGAGUCCGGGGCGCUGCAGUGUCUGCAGAGAGCGUGCGACUCGGAGAGCGCCCUGCUCACCACCGUCACCUUCGGGACUUUGGACUUCGGAGAAACGUCCGUGUUGGACAGCUUCUACGACGCAGACAUCGCAGUCGUGGACAUGAGCGACGUGUUCCGCCAGCCCUCGCUGUUCUACCACCUGGGCGUGAGGGAGAGCUUCGACAUGGCCAACAACGUCAUCCUGUACCACGACACCGACCCCGACACGGCCCAGUCGCUGAAGGACAUGGUGGCUCAGAAGAACACAGCUGCCCGCCCUCCAGCCGUAGGUUUCCCCUGGGUGCAGUUGCCUCCAGAGUACAGAGGCUCUGGAUUGCGCAAUAAAGCCUCCAGCGGUAACUACUACUUCAUCCCCUACAUAGUGACUCCCAACCACGAGUACAUGUGCUGCGAGAGCGACGCCCAGCGCAGGGCCAGCGAGUACAUGCAGCCCAGCUGGGACAACCUGCUGGGGCCGCUGUGCGACCCCCUGAACGACCGCUUCACCAGCCUGCUGAAGGACAUCCACGUCACAUCCUGCGCCUCCUUCAAGGACACCCUGCUUAACGACAUCAGGAAGGCCAGAGAGAAGUACCAGGGGGAGGAGCUGGCCAAGGAGCUGUCUCGCAUCAAACUCCGGAUCGACAAUACGGAGGUGCUCACGCAGGACAUCGUCAUGAACCUGCUCUUUUCCUACAGAGACAUUCAGGACUACGACGCCAUGGUGAAGCUGGUCCAAACCCUGGAGAUGCUACCGACUUGUGAUCUGGCGACUCAGCCCAUGAUUCAGUUCCACUACGCCUUCGCUCUCAACAGGAGGAACAGUCCUGGGGACCGGGAGCAGGCCCUCGGGGUGAUGCUGCAGGUGCUGCAGUCCUGCGAACACCCAGCCCCGGACAUGUUCUGUCUGUGCGGCCGCAUAUACAAGGACAUCUUCCUGGACUCGGACUGCAAGGACACCAAGAACAGGGACAUGGCCAUCCAGUGGUACAGGAAGGGCUUUGAGCUGCAGCCCACUCUCUACUCUGGCAUCAACCUGGCUGUCCUGCUCAUAGUGGCUGGCCAGCAGUUCGAAAGCUCCAUGGAGCUGAGAAAAAUAGGUGUGAGGCUGAACAGCCUGUUGGGGCGUAAGGGCUCCCUGGAGAAAAUGAAUAACUACUGGGACGUGGGCCAGUUCUUCACCGUUAGCAUGCUGGCUAACGACAUCCCUAAAGCUACGCAGGCUGCAGAGAAACUCUUCAAGCUCAAACCUCCCAUCUGGUAUUUACGGUCGGUGGUUCAGAACCUGCAGCUGAUCCAGAGGUUUAAGAAGCAGACGGUGGAGCAUUCUCCUCAGAGGGAGAGACUCAACUUCUGGAUGGACAUCAUCGUGGAGGCCACGCAGCGCACCACCAACCGCCUGCGAUUCCCAGUUUUGAUUCUGGAGCCGACUAAGGUGUACCAGCCGUCAUACGUGUCGAUCAACAAUGAGGCAGAGGAAAAGAAUGUCUCCAUCUGGCACGUGUCUCCCGCUGAAACAAAGGGGAUCCAUGAGUGGAACUUCACUGCCAUGUCCAUCAAAGGUAUUAGUAUCAGUAAGUUUGACGAGCGCUGCUGCUUCCUCUACGUCCACGACAACUCUGACGACUUCCAGAUCUACUUCUCCACCGAGGAGCAGUGCGGUCGGUUCUGCUCCAUGGUGAAGGAGAUGAUAUCUGAUGGCACAGGAAACGCUGUGGAGCUGGAAGGCGAGGGAGACGGAGACACGCUGGAGUACGAGUAUGACACCAAUGAGACCGGGGACCGGGUGGUGCUGGGACGCGGCACCUAUGGAGUGGUGUACGCUGGGCGGGAUCUCAGCAACCAGGUGCGGAUCGCCAUCAAAGAGAUCCCUGAGCGAGACAGCAGGUACUCUCAGCCCCUUCACGAGGAGAUCGCUCUUCACAAGUACUUGAAGCACAGGAACAUCGUUCAGUACCUGGGCUCCGUUUCCGAGAACGGCUACAUCAAGAUCUUCAUGGAACAAGUGCCUGGAGGAAGCCUGUCUGCACUGCUGCGGUCCAAAUGGGGUCCUCUGAAGGAGGCCACCAUAAUCUUCUACACCAGACAGAUCCUGGAGGGCCUCCGGUACCUGCACGAAAACCAGAUUGUCCACCGAGACAUCAAGGGCGAUAACGUCCUGGUCAACACGUACAGCGGCGUCUUGAAGAUCUCAGACUUUGGUACCUCGAAGCGUUUGGCUGGAGUCAACCCCUGUACAGAAACAUUCACCGGCACUCUCCAGUACAUGGCACCAGAAAUCAUCGACAAGGGUCCUCGGGGGUACGGAGCCCCCGCUGACAUCUGGUCCCUGGGAUGUACCAUCAUUGAAAUGGCCACUGGCAAACCCCCCUUUCACGAGCUGGGUGAACCUCAGGCAGCCAUGUUCAAGGUGGGCAUGUUUAAGAUCCACCCAGAGAUCCCGGAGUCUCUGUCUCUGGAGGCCAAGUCGUUCAUCCUGCGAUGCUUCGAGCCGGACCCCCACAAGCGCGCCAUCGCCUCCGACCUGCUCAGAGACAUCUUCGUCCGGCAAAUCACCAAGGGCAAGAAGAGCAAGAUCGCCUUCAAGCCGUCAGACAACAUCCACAGCGUGUCUCUGCCGGUGCAGUUGCAGUGCGAGGCCACCGGGAGCAGCAGCAGCGAACACGGCUCCGUGAGCCCCGACUGCGACUCCAAGCACGACGUGUUCUUCCAGAAGAAGAAACACUCCGGCCCCGACGCCCUCCUCAAGCGCCCCAACUCCAACUACCUGAGCGUGCCAGAUGAGGGGCUGGCGUCAGAGGAUCGCAAUGCCCCCCCCUCCCCCGAGGACAGGGACAGCGGCCUGUUCCUCCUGAAGAAAGACAGCGAGAGACGGGCCAUUCUGUACAAGGUGCUCAACGAGGACCAGGAGAAGGUCAUCUCCAAUCUGAUGGAGAACCACAUCCAGGGCAGCGAGGAACUCCAGCUCUCUGUCGAACACAUCAAGCAGAUCAUCUGCAUCCUCCGAGACUUCAUCCAUUCCCCCGAGCGCCGCGUCAUGGCGGCCACCAUCUCCAAACUAAAGCUGGACCUGGACUUUGACUCCACCUCCAUCAACCAGAUACAGCUGGUGCUCUUUGGCUUCCAGGACUCGGUGAAUAAGGUGCUGAGGAAUCAUCACAUCAAACCCCACUGGAUGUUUGCUAUGGAUAACAUCAUCCGCAGAGCUGUGCAGGCUGCGAUCACCAUCCUCAUACCAGAGCUGCAGACCCAUUUUGGCCCAGCGUCAGAGUGUGAGGGGGCUGAGAAGGAAGAUGAGGUGGACGAGGAAGAGGCAGAGUUUGUUCCCGGUCUAACUUCCCACAACGACGACUCUGGGACGGCGGCCGAUCCCGCCCCCUCCGCGGCGGGCACGCUCAACUGCGCCCCCCCUCAGGAGCACCAGCGCUCCCACCACCAGCUGGGCGCUCAGCUGGGGCGCCUCAAGCAGGAGACCAACAGGAACUGGAACAUGGGGAGGAAUGUGCACCUACCAGUCCAGGCCCGCAGGCACAAACGUGAACGCAGCAGAGCAGGAGCUGCGUGACGCAACAGAGUGCAAGCACAGCACAACGCAGAAGUUACUUUGUCAGGUUAUUUUCACGAAAUAUAUGAUCGUCAAGAAAGUAAAAUGACGGGUGAGUUGUGUAAAAGUUCUAAAAUUUCUAAAAAAUAGCUAAAGUCUCAAGACGUCAACUGGAAACUGCAAAUGGAAUUCAGAUCUACUUCCUUCAGAACAAUCUUCAUCUGCCAAGGCCACAUUAAAUCACUGUCGUCACCCAGAUUAACAUCAGGCAGAACUGGAUGGAGACAAACAGCACGCUUUGGCCUCCACUCACAUGCCUGAUGGAGCAACGCAGCCAGGGCUUGAACCGCUCUGAGCUGCCACGUUAGCGCUGCUGACCCGUCUCGCGUCCCCUUUAGCUCUGUGGCAAUGGGACGACUUUCACUCCAGGCCCGAAGGUUUUAUUCAGAAUCGGAAUGAUGAGGCGCCGUCCACGGCCGCUGCACGCGCUCCACAGCUCUUUGACUCACUGACAGCGAUAAUGACUGUUGAUACAAGUCAUUGCUUGUUGCAUUAGCGUUUGGCAGUUUAUUCAGUUUGCGGGUUCACACAUCUGAUUCACAACAAAAGGUUCAGCAAUCUUGUGCAGCUCUCAGAAACGCUUCAUUUUGAUCUAAUGAAAUUAACACUUGUCAAGUGUCACAGUCGAGUCAGAAACGCUUGACUCCCGUCCGGGAGACGCCUCGGCACGUCCUGGUCGGUUUCACAAUACGUGAAAUCUGAGUGAUUCCAUGAGGUUCCUGUCAGUCUCAUCAGUUAGGGCUGAGUGUGUGGGCCAAGAUAGAUAACAUUUGCUUAGAACUUAGAAGCGUAGGCUUCUUAUUAUUGACUUGCCUUCACCUGAGGCACGUUUAUCCAUCGCUACCCGUCCUGGCUGCCAGUCCAGCUUGAUCAACCCGGCUGCACCAGUUUUAAAACCUCAGCCAGGAUGAUUCAUUGCUAACUAACAAUGGUGAUCUUAAAUGUAAUUGAUGGACAUAUACAGCGCUCCAAAUGUAUUCCUGCUGCAUCACUGCACCUUCAUGCUGAGCCGCUGAUGGUUCCAGCGUUUUACAAACACAGGACAUGCAGAUCCAGAGACAAACAGACGUGAGAAGGCAGAGGCUCAGACUCAGUGUCCUGUUAAAGCCAAUGCGGUGGUCUGGUUGGGCGAUGUUCUGACGUAGCAGAUGCUACUGCCGCUGCAGGCUGCUGGAGGAGCUGCUGCAGAAGGAGAAGGAGUACCAGCAGGUGCUGAAGGCCACGCUGCAGCAGAGGACGCACGACCUGGAGCUGGUCAGAGUCAGACACCGGCCACCAGACGCCUCACUUCCCUCCAUCUUCCACGUCCCGGCGG